This 180-nucleotide ribosomal RNA is filed under the name uncultured Glomeromycotina. Its description in RNAcentral is "partial small subunit ribosomal RNA". It matches the Rfam family "Eukaryotic small subunit ribosomal RNA", at positions 651 to 828 of the family's 1831-position model. Lineage: Eukaryota; Fungi; Glomeromycota. The record is from RNAcentral.
GGAUUAGUAUGUUGGUCAUGCCUUGGUAUGUACUGAUGUAACUGAUUCCUCCCUUCUGACGAACCGUCAUGCCAUUAAUUUGGUGUGGCGGGAAAUCAGGACUGUUACUUUGAAAAAAUUAGAGUGCUCAAAGCAUGCAUUUCCGCUUGAAUAUAUUAGCAUGGAAUAAUAGAAUAGGAC